GGGCCCGUAGCUUAGUCAGGCAGAGCGCUUGGCUCUUAACCAAGGUGUCGUGGGUUCAACUCCCAUCGGGCCCG
Molecule: transfer RNA, 74 nt
Filed under: Methanobacterium sp. Maddingley MBC34
Lineage: Archaea; Methanobacteriati; Methanobacteriota; Methanobacteria; Methanobacteriales; Methanobacteriaceae
Description: tRNA-Lys
Rfam family: tRNA
About the family: Transfer RNA (tRNA) molecules are approximately 80 nucleotides in length. Their secondary structure includes four short double-helical elements and three loops (D, anti-codon, and T loops). Further hydrogen bonds mediate the characteristic L-shaped molecular structure. tRNAs have two regions of fundamental functional importance: the anti-codon, which is responsible for specific mRNA codon recognition, and the 3' end, to which the tRNAs corresponding amino acid is attached (by aminoacyl-tRNA synthetases). tRNAs cope with the degeneracy of the genetic code in two manners: having more than one tRNA (with a specific anti-codon) for a particular amino acid; and 'wobble' base-pairing, i.e. permitting non-standard base-pairing at the 3rd anti-codon position.
Source: RNAcentral